UACGAGAGGUGCAAGCGUUAUUCGGAAUUAUUGGGCGUAAAGGGCGCGUAGGCGGGUCAUUAAGUUUGUUGUUAAAUCCUCUGGCUUAACCAGAGACAAGCAAUAAAAACUGGUAACCUAGAGCGUGAGAGAGAGAAGUGGAAUUCCCGGAGUAGCGGUAAAAUGCGUAGAUCUCGGGAGGAACACCAAUGGCGAAGGCUGCUUCUUGGCUCAUUGCUGACGCUGAGGCGCGAAAGCGUGGGGAGCGAACAGG
RNAcentral lists this ribosomal RNA (253 nucleotides) under uncultured bacterium. Its description in RNAcentral is "partial 16S ribosomal RNA". It matches the Rfam family "Bacterial small subunit ribosomal RNA", at positions 524 to 776 of the family's 1533-position model. The record is from RNAcentral.